This 481-nucleotide ribosomal RNA is filed under the name uncultured bacterium. RNAcentral's name for it is "partial 16S ribosomal RNA". It matches the Rfam family "Bacterial small subunit ribosomal RNA", at positions 28 to 507 of the family's 1533-position model. The record is from RNAcentral.
GAUGAACGCUGGCGGCGUGCUUAACACAUGCCAGUCGAACGAAGCAUUUGCGACAGAUUUUUUCGGAAUGAAGUUGCUUAUGACUGAGUGGCGGACGGGUGAGUAACGCGUGGGUAACCUGCCUUGUACUGGGGGAUAGCAGCUGGAAACGGCUGGUAAUACCGCAUAAGCGCACAAUGUUGCAUGACAUGGUGUGAAAAACUCCGGUGGUAUAAGAUGGACCCGCGUCUGAUUAGCUAGUUGGUGAGAUAACAGCCCACCAAGGCGACGAUCAGUAGCCGACAUGAGAGGGUGACCGGCCACAUCGGGACUGAGACACGGCCCAGAAUCCUACGGGAGGGAGGAGUGGGUAAUAUUGCACAAUGGAGGAAACUCUGAUGCAGCGACGCCGGGUGAGUGAAGAAGUAAUUCGUUAUGUAAAGCUCUAUAAGCAGGGAAGAUAGUGACGGUACCUGACGAAGAAGCACCGGCUAACUACGUG